GACGAACGCUGGCGGCGUGCUUAACACAUGCAAGUCGAACGGUGAACCUCUUCGGAGGGGAUCAGUGGCGAACGGGUGGGUAACACGUGGGCAACCUGCCCCCGGCUCUGGGAUAACUCCAAGAAAUUGGGGCUAAUACCGUAUGUUCACCGCUUCCCGCAUGGGUGGUGGUGGAAAGGGUUUCCGGCUGGGGAUGGGCCCGCGGCCUAUCAGCUUGUUGGUGGGGUAGUGGCCUACCAAGGCGACGACGGGUAGCCGGCCUGAGAGGGUGACCGGCCACACUGGGACUGAGACACGGCCCAGACUCCUACGGGAGGCAGCAGUGGGGAAUAGUGCGCAAUGGGCGGAAGCCUGACGCAGCGACGCCGCGUGGGGGAUGACGGCCUUCGGGUUGUAAACCUCUUUCAGCAGGGACGAAGCGCAAGUGACGGUACCUGCAGAAGAAGCACCGGCCAACUACGUG
This 463-nucleotide ribosomal RNA is filed under the name uncultured bacterium. RNAcentral describes it as "partial 16S ribosomal RNA". It matches the Rfam family "Bacterial small subunit ribosomal RNA", at positions 28 to 507 of the family's 1533-position model. The record is from RNAcentral.